GGGAGCGUAGCGCAGUCGGUAGUCGCGUCAGUCUCAUAAUCUGAAGGUCGUGAGUUCGAGCCUCACCGUUCCCA
Molecule: transfer RNA, 74 nt
Filed under: Phaeoacremonium minimum UCRPA7
Lineage: Eukaryota; Fungi; Ascomycota; Sordariomycetes; Togniniales; Togniniaceae
Description: tRNA-Met (CAT) (tRNA-Met-CAT-1-1)
Rfam family: tRNA
About the family: Transfer RNA (tRNA) molecules are approximately 80 nucleotides in length. Their secondary structure includes four short double-helical elements and three loops (D, anti-codon, and T loops). Further hydrogen bonds mediate the characteristic L-shaped molecular structure. tRNAs have two regions of fundamental functional importance: the anti-codon, which is responsible for specific mRNA codon recognition, and the 3' end, to which the tRNAs corresponding amino acid is attached (by aminoacyl-tRNA synthetases). tRNAs cope with the degeneracy of the genetic code in two manners: having more than one tRNA (with a specific anti-codon) for a particular amino acid; and 'wobble' base-pairing, i.e. permitting non-standard base-pairing at the 3rd anti-codon position.
Source: RNAcentral